GAUGAACGCUGGCGGCGUGCCUAAUACAUGCAAGUCGAGCGAACAGACGAGGAGCUUGCUCCUCUGACGUUAGCGGCGGACGGGUGAGUAACACGUGGAUAACCUACCUAUAAGACUGGGAUAACUUCGGGAAACCGGAGCUAAUACCGGAGAAUAUCUUGAACCGCAUGGUGCAAUAGUGAAAGACGGUGUUGCUGUAACUUAUAGAUGGAUCCGCGCCGCAUUAGCUAGUUGGUAAGGUAACGGCUUACCAAGGCGACGAUGCGUAGCCGACCUGAGAGGGUGAUCGGCCACACGGGAACUGAGACACGGUCCAGACUCCUACGGGAGGCAGCAGUCGGGAAUCUUCCGCAAUGGGCGAAAGCCUGACGGAGCAACGCCGCGUGAGUGAUGAAGGUCUUCGGAUCGUAAAACUCUGUUACUAGGGAAGAACAAAUGUGUAAGUAACUAUGCACGUCUUGACGGUACCUAAUCAGAAAGCCACGGCUAACUACGUG
RNAcentral lists this ribosomal RNA (497 nucleotides) under uncultured bacterium. RNAcentral describes it as "partial 16S ribosomal RNA". It matches the Rfam family "Bacterial small subunit ribosomal RNA", at positions 28 to 507 of the family's 1533-position model. The record is from RNAcentral.